CUGGUUUAGGCACGGGAACAAUGUUGGAUAUCCACUCCAGAUAUGUUGACACCAUGAUGAUGCCAGCCUGAAAUUGUUUCACAAUUUCUUCUUUAACCUUUAAACUCCAUUCAGGUUUCAAUCGCCUGAGCUUUUGCCUAACUGGCUUGAAUCCUUCUUUAAUAGGAAGGCAAUGAAGAACAAUGUCAGUGGACAAACCCACCAUGUCUUCAUGAGACCAUGCAAACACAUCCUGGAAUUGGGUUAAUAGUGCAACCAUGUCAUUCCGCUGAUUUGUGGUAAGGUCUGAACCAAUUUGGAUUAGCUUAGGGUUACCUAAGGUUCCAAGAUUGAAAGAAGUGGUUUAAUCAAG
This 352-nucleotide long non-coding RNA is filed under the name Panax ginseng (ginseng). Its description in RNAcentral is "long non-coding RNA (PGIN_LNC015872)". Lineage: Eukaryota; Viridiplantae; Streptophyta; Magnoliopsida; Apiales; Araliaceae. The record is from RNAcentral.